GUGGGGUUCCACCUAGGAACUAUCUGUGAAGGAGAUGAUUAUACAAUCUGUGUAAACUGGUAUUUAGAAUGGAAGAAGAAACCGAUCCCCUGCACCAGAGGCUGCAGCUUCUUUGAAUGCAAACUAGAGGGAACAAGACUAGUCAUCAAGUACUAAGAGAGAAAUGUCCUCUAUUGUUCUUCAUUUCUUUGACAUUAUAAUGGGGUCUAAUAUGACAUACUGAUGAGUACGCGCAGGAAAGCUCAAGUCGUGAUCGAGUCACCAGUGAAACCGGGAGGCUCAGUACUGGUUUUGCUGAAGAUUGUGACUACACUUUUCGACACAUUCCCAAAAGCUACUGAGAGGUUCCUAAAGAGUCCCCAAGUCCUAUUGCAGAUCACAAUAA
Long non-coding RNA from Diospyros lotus (date-plum), 385 nucleotides. RefSeq lists it as uncharacterized. The transcript has 4 exons. The record is from RefSeq and is a predicted model, not a curated record. NCBI's taxonomy places the organism in Eukaryota, Viridiplantae, Streptophyta, Magnoliopsida, Ericales, Ebenaceae.